UAAACCUGGUGUUGCUCGUGACAGCGCAACCGGGAGUCGUGAGACUGCGUGGGAGCUGGGACUCAGCAUCGCUGCCUGAGUAUCGCCCCGACACAAGAAACAGAGGAAAAAAAAAAGAGAGAAGAAAUGGGAGCACAUCAACAGUUCAUGCAAACCACAACCUGGACUGUGACACUGUGCACAAAGAGCAGACACACAAGCCAGACUAUAGAGAACAGCAAGAUUAAAAAAAAAAAAAUCAUCACCCUGCGAAAGAGGGCAUGGUGCACAUAUCUGCAAGUUGCAGCAGCCUGGAGAACAAAAAGGCUGCUGUUUGGAAAUGGAGGCAGAAGUAUAGUGAGCUUAAAGGCACAGCACAUGGAAAACCUGCUGCGAGCCCCAUCGCCAGCGCUCCCCGAAGAAGGGAAGACUCUACCCCUGUGCCAUUGUUCCAGGACUCAGGUAAUGACAGGAGUUGCCAAGUAAAGAUGUUGCUGAUUGAGAACCAAGAUUUACUGUCUGCUAUCCCAGAAAGACAGUACAGAUGUUACAGAAAACCAAAGCCCUGAGUUCAUCACACCUUGAGAGCAUUUGCUUGUGUCCUGGAUGAAUUCAUAACUGCAGCAAACACGUAUUUGAAGUUCUGCUUUGCUCCUUACACCUUUCUGACUUAUUCCUUGCACUUCUCAUUUUACUAGAGUUGCAAAGUCAUUGAGAAAUUUUAACUUGUUGAAAUAGCGCUGGGUAAAUGUAAUUAAUUUGGAAUAAGGAGAAGUUGGAGUUGGAGUUUGAGACAUAUCCUUGAUGAUAGAAAUAAAAAUCAGUCUAUGUGAGUGAAAUAAAUAUUUCCAUCUCUUUUUUUAUCUUGUCAGGAUAGGAAAAGCAAGGUAUUUGAUGGGUCAGGCUUGAUGAAUUCAGGGGGGCUGUGUGUAUUUGGGAGCAGGCCUGCCCUGGGUUAUGGAACUAGAAUUUCAGGUGGAAGAAGAAGGGUGACCCAGCUUUGAGACCAAGUCUUUGAUUUUCAUGGUUGUUAACAUCCUCUUUGUAACUUGUCCUUCUUGGUGGUUUAUGACCUUGUU
Long non-coding RNA from Tyto alba (common barn owl), 1058 nucleotides. RefSeq lists it as uncharacterized. Lineage: Eukaryota; Metazoa; Chordata; Aves; Strigiformes; Tytonidae. The record is from RefSeq and is a predicted model, not a curated record. The transcript has 5 exons.